Prunus dulcis (almond) is the source of this 3686-nucleotide RNA transcript. It is a transcript of the gene named probable splicing factor 3A subunit 1, with no coding region annotated. NCBI's taxonomy places the organism in Eukaryota, Viridiplantae, Streptophyta, Magnoliopsida, Rosales, Rosaceae. The transcript has 5 exons. The record is from RefSeq and is a predicted model, not a curated record.
UGGGGUCGUGACGGUGUAUGUAAUGUAUGUUAGUUAAAUAAAUACAUCACACAAUCUCUCCUUCUCUCUGCGCAGUGGGGGGAACUUUGAAACCCUAGAAGAAGUGCAAUCAUCUAAUUACAGCCCUAAGGUUGUGGAUGAGCAAAAAGCUGUUUUUUUUUAUGCCCUUUAGUUUGCGAAUUGUUACGUAAGUGUCUGUUUUUGUAAAAGGAAAAUGAUAGGUUCCAUUUUGCCCUUACCGGCUCCUCCUUCUGAUGGAGACCUUGGGCCUCUUCCAGAAUCCCAAGUGACUGAACUUAAUAACGAUGAGAAACAAUUGAAUGAGGAGCAGAACAAAGCCAACUCCGUUGCAACACAUACUAGGGCUAUUGGUAUCAUUUAUCCUCCUCAAGACAUCAGAAAUAUUGUUGACAAAACUUCCCAAUUCGUGGCAAAGAACGGACCGGAGUUUGAGAAAAGGAUCAUAGCUAAUAAUACCGGAAAUGCAAAGUUCAGCUUUUUGAUUUCCUCAGAUCCCUACCACGCGUAUUAUCAGCAUCGAUUGUCUGAGUUCCGUGCCCAGAAUCAGUCUUCUGGACAGCAACCUUCUUCGCAGCCUGAAGAUUCUGCAAUACCUGAGUCAGCCCCACCAGCUCCAGCUGCAGAUGGUGAAACAGGAACACCAAAGCUGGAUCCCUCUGCUCAGUUUAAAUCGGUGCGCAAAGUGCCCGAACCACCAGAAAAACCAGAAGCUGAGCAGUAUACUGUUCGGCUUCCUGAAGGGAUUACUGGGGAAGAGUUGGAUAUUAUAAAGCUCACAGCCCAGUUUGUAGCUCGAAAUGGGAAAUCAUUUUUGUUAGGAUUGACAAACAGGGAAACGAAUAACCCCCAGUUCCAUUUUUUAAAACCUAACCAUAGUAUGUUUACACUUUUCACUUCUCUGGCUGAUGCUUACUCAAAGGUGUUAAUGCCUCCGACGGGGUUGACAGAGAAGCUUAAGAAAAGUAUUGCAGACAUGACAACUGUGCUUGAACGGUGUGUGCAUCGGCUGGAGUGGGAGCGUUCACAAGAGCAGGCAAGGCAGAAGGAAGAAGAUGAGAUUGAGCUGGAAAGGAUGCAAAUGGCUAUGAUUGAUUGGCAUGAUUUUGUUGUGGUUGAAUCAAUAGACUUUGCAGAUGAUGAGGAUGAGGAUUUACCUCCUCCAAUGACCCUUGAGGAGGUUAUAAGGAGAAGCAAGGUCACAGAUAUGGAAGAAGAUAUUGUUGAGCCUGGUAAGGAGGUGGAAAUGGAAAUGGAUGUAGAAGAGAUGCAGCUUGUUGAAGAGGGCUUGAGGACAGCCAGAAUUGAAGAGAAUGGUGAUGAAAAGAAGAAUGAGAAUAAGGUGACAGAUGAUCCAGAACCACCAAUGAGAAUUGUGAAGAACUGGAAGAGACCUGAAGACAGGAUCCCUGCUGAAAGAGACCCAACAAAGUAUGUCAUUUCACCAAUCACUGGAGAGCUUAUCCCUAUCAAUGAGAUGUCUGAACACAUGAGGAUUUCUCUCAUUGAUCCAAAAUACAAAGAGCAAAAAGAACGGAUGUUUGCCAAGAUUCGGGAGACUACUCUCGCUCAGGAUGACGAAAUCUCAAGAAACAUUGUGGGCCUUGCACGAACCCGUCCUGAUAUUUUUGGUACCACAGAGGAAGAAGUUUCUAACGCUGUCAAGGCUGAGAUUGAAAAAAAGAAAGAUGAGCAACCAAAGCAGGUCAUAUGGGAUGGUCACACUGGAAGCAUUGGUCGCACAGCAAAUCAAGCCAUGUCACAGAAUAUCAACGGAGAGGAUCAGAAUGAUGUUCUUAACAAUGAUGCAAGGAAUCUUCCUGGUCCUGCAGCUCCUCCUCCAAGACCUGGUGUGCCGUCUGUUCGCCCUCUACCCCCACCACCAGGUCUUGCCUUGAAUCUACCUCGUGUUCCUCCAAAUACAGCCCAGUAUUCUGCUCCAUCUAGUGGUGGCCUCCCUGUACCUCCACUGAGGCCAUCAGUUGUCCAAUAUCAAUCAGUUCGACCACCUGGACCUCCAAUGCCCAUGAGUUCAGGACAGCAAUCCCUUUUGGUGAAUCGGCCACCUCCUAUGCCACCAUCAAUGUCUAUGAAUCCAUCUGUCCCACCUCCACCUGGUUCGCAGUUUACACCCAUGCAAGUUCCCCGAGCUUAUAUGCUUCCUGUUCCUCCACCUACAAUGCAAAUGAUGCCACCACCACCUUUGCCUCAGGGGAUGCCCCCACCACCACCACCUGAGGAAGCUCCUCCACCGCUUCCAGAAGAACCCGAGCCAAAGCGGCAGAAGCUUGAUGAUUCUAUGCUUAUUUCAGAAGAUCAGUUUCUGGCACAGCAUCCGGGACCUGUUCGCAUCACAGUAUCUGUCCCCAAUGUUGAUGAAGGUAAUCUGAAGGGACAACUUUUGGAGAUUACGGUGCAGUCCUUAUCUGAAACUGUUGGGAGUCUGAAAGAAAAAAUUUCUGGGGAGAUCCAGCUUCCUGCAAACAAACAGAAAUUGAGUGGAAAACCUGGUUUUCUCAAGGACAAUAUGUCGCUUGCGUAUUACAAUGUUGGAGCAGGAGAAGCACUUAGUCUUUCAUUAAGAGAGCGUGGUGGAAGAAAGAGAUGAGCAGAUUAUUUGACCAGGCUGAUUAAGGUUCUUGCUGGAAUUUUCGUGUUACCAUGAGAAUAUUCAAUAUAUCAUGUGGGACUUUUGCUAUUCUACUUUCUUUGAUGUUAUAUGGGAGAUUAUAUGUUGGUUGUGUAUUAAUAGGAUGAUUUUUCUUGAACAUAUAAUUGUUGUCUUUAAACUGAUGGUAAGUGUCGUAUCUACUACAGAUUGGGUGCCUCGGCGAGUGUCUCUUAAGGACAAUGGGAAGUAGAUCAGUUCCUUUUACUUAGCCAGCGCAAGUCAUGCUUAUAUGUCUAAUAACUGCUCCUUUUUGCAAUGCAGUUUUUUCUCUGGAAAGUAUGUGCCCAUGGUCGUAUUAUGGUUUUCAUAUCCCUAGAAGCAUGCUUGGUGUCAAGUUAUUUUCAGUGUUCACUUCCAAUUUUUGAUAGAGGCUUUAGCUACUUGUUGGGACUCAUAAAUGGUCUGUGCAACCAGUUAGAUGUUCUUCUUUAAGCAUCUAAGCCAGCAUGGAACCACAGGGUUUGAUUACCAUGUUAAAGGAACAAGCAAGUUUUUAUAUCUUUGUAUUUUUUCUAGGAUUAUUAGAGCAGGUAGGGGUUACAUAGCUUCCCUAAGGUUAUGCAUGAGAUUGGAUUUGAUAUUAAAAGUUCACAGCUAGUAUAGAAAUGCAGAAUGCCCUAAUCUGUUGAAAAGAGUCGUCAUUAACUGUUCAGUUAUGGUAAUUUGGUGCUGGCAGCACAAUACUGUAGAGAAUUUGGUUGGCUGAUGUACUAGUCUAAAAUAUUUGCUCAACACUGGCCUUCACUAUGGGGUGUCAACAUGGUCCAUGCGUAAUUACGAGUCGACUCAGUAUGUCGAUCCGGGGUUGAAGACUCCAGCCCUUCUCGGUGAUGUGACCUGUUGUGCGGAUAUAAACAAUUGUGUCUCCAAUAUUGUGCACGCUAGGAAUGUGUAUGUAGUAAAAGCCACUGUCAGCUGUUUCAAAAGGCGUUGAGUUGCCUGUAUAAAGUCUGCCUCGUUUCCCAAUAUCAAUUGGUUGUACUUGUUGAGAGUAUCA